AAAUAAAUUAAAACUUUCAACAACGGAUCUCUUGGUUCUGGCAUCGAUGAAGAACGCAGCGAAAUGCGAUAAGUAAUGUGAAUUGCAGAAUUCAGUGAAUCAUCGAAUCUUUGAACGCACAUUGCGCCCUCUGGUAUUCCAGAGGGCAUGCCUGUUCGAGCGUCAUUUCAACCCUCAAGCC
This 181-nucleotide ribosomal RNA is filed under the name Cytospora oleicola. Its description in RNAcentral is "5.8S ribosomal RNA". The stretch from base 12 to 165 matches the Rfam family "5.8S ribosomal RNA". From Rfam's summary of the family: 5.8S ribosomal RNA (5.8S rRNA) is a component of the large subunit of the eukaryotic ribosome. It is transcribed by RNA polymerase I as part of the 45S precursor that also contains 18S and 28S rRNA. Functionally, it is thought that 5.8S rRNA may be involved in ribosome translocation. Lineage: Eukaryota; Fungi; Ascomycota; Sordariomycetes; Diaporthales; Cytosporaceae. The record is from RNAcentral.